CACGUAGGGUGCGAGCGUUGUCCGGCAUUAUUGGGCGUAAAGAGCUCGUAGGCGGUUUGUCGCGUCUGCCGUGAAAGUCCGGGGCUCAACUCCGGAUCUGCGGUGGGUACGGGCAGACUAGAGUGAUGUAGGGGAGACUGGAAUUCCUGGUGUAGCGGUGAAAUGCGCAGAUAUCAGGAGGAACACCGAUGGCGAAGGCAGGUCUCUGGGCAUUAACUGACGCUGAGGAGCGAAAGCAUGGGGAGCGAACAGG
This 253-nucleotide ribosomal RNA is filed under the name uncultured bacterium. Its description in RNAcentral is "partial 16S ribosomal RNA". It matches the Rfam family "Bacterial small subunit ribosomal RNA", at positions 524 to 776 of the family's 1533-position model. The record is from RNAcentral.